RNAcentral lists this ribosomal RNA (465 nucleotides) under Vreelandella stevensii. RNAcentral describes it as "partial 16S ribosomal RNA". It matches the Rfam family "Bacterial small subunit ribosomal RNA", at positions 338 to 795 of the family's 1533-position model. Lineage: Bacteria; Pseudomonadati; Pseudomonadota; Gammaproteobacteria; Oceanospirillales; Halomonadaceae. The record is from RNAcentral.
CCUACGGGCGGCAGCAGUGGGGAAUAUUGGACAAUGGGCGAAAGCCUGAUCCAGCCAUGCCGCGUGUGUGAAGAAGGCCUUCGGGUUGUAAAGCACUUUCAGUGGGGAAGAAAGCCUUGGGGCUAAUACCCUCGAGGAAGGACAUCACCCACAGAAGAAGCACCGGCUAACUCCGUGCCAGCAGCCGCGGUAAUACGGAGGGUGCGAGCGUUAAUCGGAAUUACUGGGCGUAAAGCGCGCGUAGGCGGUCUGAUAAGCCGGUUGUGAAAGCCCCGGGCUCAACCUGGGAACGGCAUCCGGAACUGUCAGGCUAGAGUGCAGGAGAGGAUGGUAGAAUUCCCGGUGUAGCGGUGAAAUGCGUAGAGAUCGGGAGGAAUACCAGUGGCGAAGGCGGCCUUCUGGACUGACACUGACGCUGAGGUGCGAAAGCGUGGGUAGCAAACAGGAUUAGAUACCCCGGUAGUC